UUUGUCACCCAGCCUCAACUUACCUAUAGUUCUGUAAAAAUGUUGUUCACCUUUUUUGACUUUAUUAUCUGCAUACUAUAGAUGUACUUUCAUGGACCACUGAAAGGAGGAAAUGGCCCGCGUGCUUUGCCCAAGAGUAUGAUAGGCAGCAGGCUUUUAAGGGGCAGCCAGAAAGAAGGAGGGGCAAUGUAUUUUCCAAAGAAGCAGAAUGCAAACAAGAAGCAAUGGAUGGAAACUGAACAGAGAGAAGCAGCCUAGAACUAGGGAGAAAUUUCCUGACUCUGAGGACAAUUAACCAGUGGGAGGGUUUGCCUUCAGAGGUUCCCAUGGGGGCUCCAUCACGGAUGGCUUUUAAACACACAGGACAGACAUUUGUCUGAAGUGGUUCUGGGUCUCCUGCUUGAGCAGGGUGGAGGAACAGAAGACCUGCCAAGUUCCUUCCAACCCUGUCACAAACCUCCAG
Molecule: non-coding RNA, 463 nt
Organism: Pseudonaja textilis
Lineage: Eukaryota; Metazoa; Chordata; Lepidosauria; Squamata; Elapidae
Source: RefSeq, a predicted model, not a curated record